UGGGGAAUAUUGGACAAUGGGGGCAACCCUGAUCCAGCAAUGCCGCGUGUGUGAAGAAGGUUUUCGGAUUGUAAAGCACUUUCGACGGGGACGAUGAUGACGGUACCCGUAGAAGAAGCCCCGGCUAACUUCGUGCCAGCAGCCGCGGUAAUACGAAGGGGGCUAGCGUUGCUCGGAAUGACUGGGCGUAAAGGGCGUGUAGGCGGUUUGUACAGUCAGAUGUGAAAUCCCCGGGCUUAACCUGGGAGCUGCAUUUGAUACGUGCAGACUAGAGUGUGAGAGAGGGUUGUGGAAUUCCCAGUGUAGAGGUGAAAUUCGUAGAUAUUGGGAAGAACACCGGUGGCGAAGGCGGCAACCUGGCUCAUAACUGACGCUGAGGCGCGAAAGCGUGGGGAGCAAACAGGAUUAGAUACCCUGGUAGUCCACGCUGUAAACGAUGUGUGCUAGAUGUUGGGUAACUUAGUUAUUCAGUGUCGCAGUUAACGCGUUAAGCACACCGCCUGGGGAGUACGGCCGCAAGGUUGAAACUCUAAAGUGA
Molecule: ribosomal RNA, 538 nt
Filed under: uncultured bacterium
Lineage: Bacteria
Description: partial 16S ribosomal RNA
Rfam family: Bacterial small subunit ribosomal RNA
Source: RNAcentral